This 993-nucleotide ribosomal RNA is filed under the name Triticum aestivum (bread wheat). Its description in RNAcentral is "partial small subunit ribosomal RNA". The record is from RNAcentral. Lineage: Eukaryota; Viridiplantae; Streptophyta; Magnoliopsida; Poales; Poaceae.
AUGUGUCCAAUGGAGUUAAAUGGUCCUCCAUUUGGUCAACCUACAACUUCAACACCCGUUGAGGAAUCUCAUGUGCAAGUGCCCACACAAAAUGAGUUCGAUGAUAUAGAGAAGAUCACUCUUCUUAGCCUUGAAUUCACUUGGAGUGGCGAGGAUGAUCCUAUUAGGAAGCUGAUACUAGAUGAGAUGAAGAAGAUUAAGAGUGGAAAGGAGCUAGUGGAAGAAGUAAGGAAGAUCGAGAGGAACAUUAAUACUGGCAGUACUAUCUCAUCACAGCUUGAGCUGAGUAUUUCUGGGAUAUCCCUUGAUACAUGUGAGGUUCCAACACCUUCACAUUCAACUGAGCAAGAUAGUGAGAGUCCAGAGGAAGAGAUACUUCAGAUCCAAGAAGUAAUUCUCAAAGCCAAGGAACAAGACGAUCCAGAGCUUGAAUGCCCAAGUGAUCAAGAUGAAGAUCCAAUGUCUAUCUCUCCCGAAGAAGUAAAAGAAACUGCUAUAGAUGAACUUGAAGAACCAGGAAUUCAUUUGCCUAUUGUCAUACAAGAGCGUGAUGUAGCAGGUUUAUCUAAUCCUCUUGAUGACAUGCGUCCUUAUGAUUUAUUUGCUUCUACCUUGCAUUACAUGAUACCAUCAAUUAAGCUAGACUUGAAAAAUUAUUUGCUAGGACAGGAUCAUACAUACCCUGUUAGUGGCAUUUCUCACAUUUGCUAUUAUGACGCUUAUUCUCCCCAUGCUAGAGUUAUGCUUAAUGAAAUAUAUCAUCCACAUGCCAGCGUUGAGAUCAUUUAUUCAUAUCAUCCUAAACAUGUGCUUUAUAGCUAUGCUUAUGUAAUUGGACACUCGAUUGAUGACUUGGAGGGUAUUAUCCCUACCACUUGUCUUGUCUCUUUUGUUGUAUGCCUUUCCAGGUUUUUGCUACUGCAUCGUUUACUACAUGCUGACCAGCUUCGAGGUGACAUCCCUUGGGAUCCCGGUGGAGUCAAAGCACUGUGA